UACGUAGGGGGCAAGCGUUGUCCGGAUUUACUGGGCGUAAAGAGCGUGUAGGCGGCCAAGCAGGUCCGUUGUGAAAACUGGAGGCUUAACCUCCAGACGUCGACGGAAACCGCGUGGCUAGAGUCCGGAAGAGGAGAGUGGAAUUCCUGGUGUAGCGGUGAAAUGCGCAGAUAUCAGGAAGAACACCAAUGGCGAAGGCAGCUCUCUGGGACGGUACUGACGCUGAGACGCGAAAGCGUGGGGAGCGAGCAGG
RNAcentral lists this ribosomal RNA (253 nucleotides) under uncultured bacterium. Its description in RNAcentral is "partial 16S ribosomal RNA". It matches the Rfam family "Bacterial small subunit ribosomal RNA", at positions 524 to 776 of the family's 1533-position model. The record is from RNAcentral.